Tachyglossus aculeatus (Australian echidna) is the source of this 1037-nucleotide long non-coding RNA. RefSeq lists it as uncharacterized. The record is from RefSeq and is a predicted model, not a curated record. Lineage: Eukaryota; Metazoa; Chordata; Mammalia; Monotremata; Tachyglossidae. The transcript is spliced from 3 exons.
CGCCCCCCCUUCCCGGCCCCUCCGUUCCCGCCGCCCGCACACCGCCCUUCCGGGACACCCAGCUCCGCGGGACGGUGCUUUCUAUGCAUAUGAAUUGUGAUGUCAUCCUCCUCUACCCGUCAGCAUAGCAUGGAGAGAGGCUGCAAGAAGGGAGAGCCCCAGAAGUGACAGCUCAAGAUCAAGAAAGCUUCCAGGAUUCCUGCCUCCCCGGACCUGGGUAUUGGAUCUCAGGACCCGGCCAGUCAGUCGGUCGUAUUUAUUGAGCGCCUAGUGUUGGCGAUCCAGUCCUCAAACCCACUCCAAAGGGAGCCGGGGCCAUGGAUGUGAUGACCGAGGUCAGGGUGUAUAGGCCCCUGACCAUAACUCCGGGGGGCCUGCUUACCCAUUUACAGGAAAAGCAGACUCAUUUUCCUGUUGCAACAAGGGAGUGACCUUGCACCCCUGGGCUGCCUGUUUUGCGUACACGACAUCCAGUUCCUGUGCUCCUCUUCUGUGGUUUAUUUUUGUUUUCCCCUCGGCCUUAGCCUUUCCUGAACAAGGCCCGGCAGCCCGGCCCACCCCACUCAGUCCAAUCUCCCCAGCCCCACAGACCGCAGCUUUUUAAUCUUGAAACUGUCCAGGGUGGACUCUUUUGUUGGGAUUCUCUGUCAUCAAUCAAUCAGUUGUAUUUAUUGAGCCCUUACUGCGUGCAGAGCACUGGACUAAGCGGUUGGGAAGUACAAGUUGGCAACAUAUAGAGACAGUCCCUACCCAACAGUGGGCUCACAGUCUGGAACUUUCUAUGAACUUUCCCAGGCAUUUUGAUUGUACGCCUUCAGGGCAGGGAUUUUUGAUUGACUUUUGUUUUGUGUGGCACCUACCGGCCCUAAGCAAAAUGUGAAACUGUCCAGUGACUGAGGGCAGUGAUUCAGGAUAGAUGACCUUAGUGGGUGGUGGGGGGGAGGGGGGAGACUAUGCCGGAUGUAAUGGAUGAUUUGGAAACUCGGGAAUUUCAGGGGUCAGUCCGAAUGGAAAAAAAAAAAAAAACAAAGAACAAA